This 398-nucleotide ribosomal RNA is filed under the name Sordariomycetes sp. RNAcentral's name for it is "eukaryotic LSU rRNA". It matches the Rfam family "Eukaryotic large subunit ribosomal RNA", at positions 172 to 577 of the family's 3401-position model. Lineage: Eukaryota; Fungi; Ascomycota; Sordariomycetes. The record is from RNAcentral.
GGUGCCUUACGAGUUCCCUGGAACGGGACGCCUUAGAGGGUGAGAGCCCCGUACGUUUGGUUACCGAGCCUCUGUAAAGCUCCUUCGACGAGUCGAGUAGUUUGGGAAUGCUGCUCUAAAUGGGAGGUAAAUUUCUUCUAAAGCUAAAUACCGGCCAGAGACCGAUAGCGCACAAGUAGAGUGAUCGAAAGAUGAAAAGCACUUUGAAAAGAGGGUUAAAUAGCACGUGAAAUUGUUGAAAGGGAAGCGUUUAUGACCAGACUUUUUCCUAGCGGAUCAUCCGGCGUUCUCGCCGGUGCACUUCGCUAGGUUUAGGCCAGCAUCGGUUUUCGCAGGGGGAUAAAAGCAGUGGUAAUGUGGCUCCCUCCGGGGAGUGUUAUAGACCGCUGUAUAAUACC